GACGAACGCUGGCGGCGUGCUUAACACAUGCAAGUCGAACGGAAAGGCCCUGCUUUUGUGGGGUGCUCGAGUGGCGAACGGGUGAGUAACACGUGAGUAACCUGCCCUUGACUUUGGGAUAACUUCAGGAAACUGGGGCUAAUACCGGAUAGGAGCUCCUGCUGCAUGGUGGGGGUUGGAAAGUUUCGACGGUUGGGGAUGGACUCGCGGCUUAUCAGCUUGUUGGUGGGGUAGUGGCUUACCAAGGCUUUGACGGGUAGCCGGCCUGAGAGGGUGACCGGCCACAUUGGGACUGAGAUACGGCCCAGACUCCUACGGGAGGCAGCAGUGGGGAAUAUUGCACAAUGGGCGGAAGCCUGAUGCAGCAACGCCGCGUGCGGGAUGACGGCCUUCGGGUUGUAAACCGCUUUCACCUGUGACGAAGCGUGAGUGACGGUAAUGGGUAAAGAAGCACCGGCUAACUACGUG
Molecule: ribosomal RNA, 468 nt
Filed under: uncultured bacterium
Lineage: Bacteria
Description: partial 16S ribosomal RNA
Rfam family: Bacterial small subunit ribosomal RNA
Source: RNAcentral